Molecule: long non-coding RNA, 965 nt
Organism: Corticium candelabrum
Lineage: Eukaryota; Metazoa; Porifera; Homoscleromorpha; Homosclerophorida; Plakinidae
Exons: 4
Source: RefSeq, a predicted model, not a curated record
GAUGAUGGCAUUUUAUUCUUGUGAGGAACGCUCUGUGGAGAUGGACAAGCAGACAGAAUAUAUCAAUUAGGCAAUGGCAAUGAUCAUAUCGAGAUUUCAGAAGGAUCUACAGGUGGCUUGUUAGGAACAAGUAGACAACACGUACAAAAAAGGAGCAUUAGAUAAUUACAUCAAAUCAGAAGAGAAGUAAAUGUACAAGCAUUCCAAAAACAAACCAUGUGCAGUAGGUGACUAUGUCACUGUUAAAAUUCCCCAACAAGACAGGAUGUCAACGGAUCUUCCACGUCAUCAUGCAGUAGUGGUUCAAAUCCGAGGAACAAAGAGAAUCAGCUACUGUCUGAGGUCAAAGUACGGAGUUCUGGAGAGAUUGUAUGACGAUGACAAUCUAGAGGGAUUUCAGGCAAGAUUGAGGAUCUCAGUACGUCUAGCUGGGAGAAUGACCGAAAGAUAUCUUUAAGGGAAGCGGUGACAUUGGCUAGACAGAAGCGUGGAGACUUGCUUUCCUCAAGUUAGCCGUACAACAAAAUCAACUGAGGUGAAGACGGCAGUCAGCAUUCACUGUCUGUGCUACUUGCACUUUCCUGGGAAGCAAAUUGUCCAGUGUGAUGACAGUUCGUCAUCAACUGGACUGCAUUAGCUUAUCUUCAAAGGGUGUGGUGGGUGCGGCCAAAAUUACCCACCAACCAACUUGGCACUAUUGAGAGUGUACAAAGAGACAGAACUAACAAUGAUUGAGUCAUGACAAUGAUGUGUAUUGUCUACUAGUUUAGGUGUAUGUUCGUAGUAGUUUGUAUGUUAGUAAUUUAGAUGUUCUUUCUGUCUCUGUGUCUGUCUGUCUCUGUGUCUGUCUGUCUGUCUGUCUGUCUGUCUGUCUGUCUGUCUGUCUGUCUGUCUGUCUGUCUGUCUGUCUGUUUGUCUGUCUGUCUUUGUCUGUUUUCAUUUAUUUCAAUACAUUUUAAGCACAA